This 76-nucleotide transfer RNA is filed under the name Aureimonas phyllosphaerae. RNAcentral's name for it is "tRNA-Ala". It matches the Rfam family "tRNA". Rfam says of the family: Transfer RNA (tRNA) molecules are approximately 80 nucleotides in length. Their secondary structure includes four short double-helical elements and three loops (D, anti-codon, and T loops). Further hydrogen bonds mediate the characteristic L-shaped molecular structure. tRNAs have two regions of fundamental functional importance: the anti-codon, which is responsible for specific mRNA codon recognition, and the 3' end, to which the tRNAs corresponding amino acid is attached (by aminoacyl-tRNA synthetases). tRNAs cope with the degeneracy of the genetic code in two manners: having more than one tRNA (with a specific anti-codon) for a particular amino acid; and 'wobble' base-pairing, i.e. permitting non-standard base-pairing at the 3rd anti-codon position. RNAcentral also lists the same sequence under 1 other name. The record is from RNAcentral. Lineage: Bacteria; Pseudomonadati; Pseudomonadota; Alphaproteobacteria; Hyphomicrobiales; Aurantimonadaceae.
GGGGCUUUAGCUCAGCUGGGAGAGCACCUGCUUUGCAAGCAGGGGGUCGUCGGUUCGAACCCGACAAGCUCCACCA